CAAUAGAUAAGAUUGAAGGCGUUAAUUUUUACAUCAACCAUGCAAAAAUAACCAUUGACACAGCUUGUAUGGGU
This 74-nucleotide unclassified non-coding RNA is filed under the name Flavobacterium sp. ov086. Its description in RNAcentral is "Flavo-1 RNA". Lineage: Bacteria; Pseudomonadati; Bacteroidota; Flavobacteriia; Flavobacteriales; Flavobacteriaceae. The record is from RNAcentral.